Molecule: long non-coding RNA, 645 nt
Filed under: Rattus norvegicus (Norway rat)
Lineage: Eukaryota; Metazoa; Chordata; Mammalia; Rodentia; Muridae
Description: long non-coding RNA NONRATT009855
Source: RNAcentral
UCACGCACUGGAUCUUUGGAGAGGUCUCCAUUGUUUCCAGAUGGGCAGUGAGCGGUCAUCCCCACCCAGGGCCUGAUCCGAAUCCUUUUGGAGGUGCGGUUCUGCUGGGCUUCGCAAGUGGACUGAUGCUAUCGGGCUCAUCAUGGCUUUGUGACACUGGGUUAGCCUGGUGGAUGACAGGAGCAACUUCAGCCAUGGGUCUCCUUUAUCUGCGCACUUGGGCAGCCGCUGUUUCUGGAUGCGCACUGGCAGUCUUCACAGGGUCCAUGUGGCCUCAAGUACUUGGACAUCUUAUGAACUCAGGGACAAACCCUGGAGGAGCCAUGACCACUGGCAUGAGCCUUUAUGUUCUACAAGUGUUUUUCUGUGCCUGGUGCACAGCUUUUAAGUUUGUUCCUGGAGGUGUCUACGCUAGAGAAAGGUCUGAUGUGCUUUUGGGGAUCAUAAUGGUAAUUAUUGGAUUGAGCAUGCUGUUUAGACCUAAGAAAAACCUUGACUUUCUUCUUCAAACAAAAAACAGCUCUAAAAUGCUUUUAAGAAGCACUGAAAAAUACAUGAAACUUAUUUUGUGGCUGCUUGUUGGUGUGGGGUUACUGGGAUUAGGACUGCGGCACAGAACCUAUGAGAGAAAAUUAGGCCACGGGG